This 253-nucleotide ribosomal RNA is filed under the name uncultured bacterium. RNAcentral's name for it is "partial 16S ribosomal RNA". It matches the Rfam family "Bacterial small subunit ribosomal RNA", at positions 524 to 776 of the family's 1533-position model. The record is from RNAcentral.
UACGUAGGUGGCAAGCGUUGUCCGGAUUUACUGGGCGUAAAGCGUAUGCAGGCGGAUACUUAAGUAGGAAGUGAAAGGUGGGAGCUCAACUCCCACAUUGCUCCCUAUACUGGGUGUCUUGAGUGGCGGAGAGGGAGAGGGAACGACACGUGUAGCGGUGAAAUGCGUUGAUAUGUGUCGGAACACCAAUGGCGAAAGCACUCUCCUGGACGCAAACUGACGCUGAGAUACGAAAGCCAAGGUAGCAAACAGG